This 492-nucleotide ribosomal RNA is filed under the name uncultured bacterium. Its description in RNAcentral is "partial 16S ribosomal RNA". It matches the Rfam family "Bacterial small subunit ribosomal RNA", at positions 29 to 507 of the family's 1533-position model. The record is from RNAcentral.
AGUGAACGCUGGCGGUAGGCCUAACACAUGCAAGUCGAACGGCAGCACAGUAAGAGCUUGCUCUUACGGGUGGCGAGUGGCGGACGGGUGAGGAAUACAUCGGAAUCUACUUUUUCGUGGGGGAUAACGUAGGGAAACUUACGCUAAUACCGCAUACGACCUACGGGUGAAAGCAGGGGAUCUUCGGACCUUGCGCGAUUGAAUGAGCCGAUGUCGGAUUAGCUAGUUGGCGGGGUAAAGGCCCACCAAGGCGACGAUCCGUAGCUGGUCUGAGAGGAUGAGCAGCCACACUGGAACUAAGACACGGUCCAGACUCCUACGGGAGGCAGCAGUGGGGAAUAUUCGACAAUGGGCGCAAGCCUGAUCCAGCCAUACCGCGUGGGUGAAGAAGGCCUUCGGGUUGUAAAGCCCUUUUGUUGGGAAAGAAAAGCAGCAGGUUAAUACCCCGCUGUUCUGACGGUACCCAAAGAAUAAGCACCGGCUAACUUCGUG